GAGACCAAUGGGUUUCGCGUAGUCUGCGGGCUAUGCACCGUCUAGGUUUGGGAUUUUUUUUUAUGGCGGUAACCCCGUCUCCACGGGAGGUUGUGUGUAUAU
This is a ribosomal RNA of Trypanosoma cruzi, 102 nucleotides long. The record is from RefSeq and is a predicted model, not a curated record. NCBI's taxonomy places the organism in Eukaryota, Euglenozoa, Kinetoplastea, Trypanosomatida, Trypanosomatidae.